Molecule: ribosomal RNA, 497 nt
Filed under: uncultured bacterium
Lineage: Bacteria
Description: partial 16S ribosomal RNA
Rfam family: Bacterial small subunit ribosomal RNA
Source: RNAcentral
GAUGAACGCUGGCGGCGUGCCUAAUACAUGCAAGUCGAGCGAACAGAUGAGGAGCUUGCUCCUCUGACGUUAGCGGCGGACGGGUGAGUAACACGUGGAUAACCUACCUAUAAGACUGGGAUAACUACGGGAAACCGGAGCUAAUACCGGAUAAUAUAUUGAACCGCAUGGUUCAAUAGUGAAAGACGGUUUUGCUGUCACUUAUAGAUGGAUCCGCGCCGCAUUAGCUAGUUGGUAAGGUAACGGCUUACCAAGGCAACGAUGCGUAGCCGACCUGAGAGGGUGAUCGGCCACACUGGAACUGAGACACGGUCCAGACUCCUACGGGAGGCAGCAGUAGGGAAUCUUCCGCAAUGGGCGAAAGCCUGACGGAGCAACGCCGCGUGAGUGAUGAAGGUCUUCGGAUCGUAAAACUCUGUUAUUAGGGAAGAACAAAUGUGUAAGUAACUAUGCACGUCCUGACGGUACCUAAUCAGAAAGCCACGGCUAACUACGUG